AGAGUUUGAUCAUGGCUCAGGACGAACGCUGGCGGUGCGCCUUAUGCAUGCAAGUCGAGCGAAGCUUUUCAGUAGUUUACUACAGAAAAUGACUGAGCGGCGAACGGGUGAGUAACGCGUGAGCAACCUACCUUAGUUACUGGGAUAGCCCGAGGAAACUCGGAUUAAUACCGGAUAUUCUUAUUUAAUCACAUGAUUUUUUAAGGAAAGGUCAGCCGAACUAAGAUGGGCUCGCGUUCUAUCAGCUAGUUGGUAGGGUAAUGGCCUACCAAGGCUACGACGGAUAGCUGGUCUGAGAGGACGAUCAGCCACACUGGGACUGAGACACGGCCCAGACUCCUACGGGAGGCUGCAGCAGGGAAUAUUGCGCAAUGAGCGAAAGCUUGACGCAGCGACACCGCGUGUGGGAUGACGGAUCUAGGUUUGUAAACCACUUUCAGGAGGGAAGAAAAUGACGGUACCUCCACAAGAAGCCCCGGCCAACUACGUGCCAGCAGCCGCGGUAAUACGUAGGGGGCGAGCGUUGUCCGGAUUUAUUGGGCGUAAAGAGCUCGUAGGCGGUUCAACAAGUCGGUCGUGAAAGUUCAGGGCUCAACCCUGAAAUGUCGAUCGAUACUGUUGUGACUAGGAUACGGUAGAGGUGAGUGGAAUUCCGAGUGUAGCGGUGAAAUGCGUAGAUAUUCGGAGGAACACCAAUUGCGAAGGCAGCUCACUGGGCCGCUAUCGACGCUGAGGAGCGAAAGCUAGGGGAGCAAACAGGAUUAGAUACCCUGGUAGUCCUAGCUGUAAACGAUGGAUACUAGACGUAGGAAUUGGAUUAACGAUUUCUGUGUCGUAGCUAACGCGUUAAGUAUCCCGCCUGGGGAGUACGGUCGCAAGACUAAAA
Molecule: ribosomal RNA, 886 nt
Filed under: uncultured bacterium
Lineage: Bacteria
Description: bacterial SSU rRNA
Rfam family: Bacterial small subunit ribosomal RNA
Source: RNAcentral